Long non-coding RNA from Cervus hanglu yarkandensis (Yarkand deer), 2378 nucleotides. NCBI's taxonomy places the organism in Eukaryota, Metazoa, Chordata, Mammalia, Artiodactyla, Cervidae. The record is from Ensembl.
GGACUUCAUGCCCAGCCCGGGCUCUGGGCCCACAUUGGCCCCAGACUCACUGGGUGACCUUGGAGAACUUGCUCCCCCUCUCUGAUCCUGUUUCCUCCUCCUUCAGUGAGUGAAUAGUCUGCUCUGGAUGCUUCUUCCAGCUCCCAAACCUUGUAUCCAAUGCAGGGCAGAGAACUCAGGGGAGGGAGAGGUGGCUUCACUCAGUGGCCUCGGGCUAGUCCCUUCCCCUUUCAGACACUUAGCUUUUCAGUCCAGCAGUUAAAAAUCCCUCCCCUCUGUAUUGCUGUCACCAUUGACAGUACGUUUUCAUUCUACAAAGGUAGCAGCAUUUUCCAGAUAAGAAAACUACGGUUCAGGGAGGUCAAAUGAUGCACCCUGAGUAUGGCAGGGCUGGGACAGCAGCUCAAGGCUUCUGAUUUAGUCUCUAAAAUCGAUGUUGCCUCCUUUAUCUUCCAGACAUCCCACACCCCCCACCCCAGCUGCCCCUCUGAGGCCCUCCCACCCAUGGUCUUACCCUCCCAACAGGGCCCUGAGCACCUGGUUCUGCCCUGGGGAGUCAGGGUGCAAAGGCCAGACAGGCCUCCCACCAGCAUUCCAGCUGCCAGUGGGAACACAGCUGUCAGCAGGGCCAAGAGAGCCAAAAGUCACCUCCCAAACAGGCCCACAUAAUUGGUACAUUGUCAGCUCAGAGACAGAGCUGCUCUGGGCUCUUGGGCAAGCCCCGGUCCUCUCUGGGCCUUGGUUUCUUCAUCUGGCUGCAGUGCAUUGGACUAGAUGAUUUCCAAGGGCCCUCUCAGCUUGGAAUGUUGCCUGGGGAGUGAUGGAGGAGAAGAGUGGCUGGGGGCGGCAGCUGUGGCAAGGUCCAGGCAGCUGUGGGUGGGCCUCAGGUAUCUGACCCGAGGAAUCUGGCCUCUGCCUCACCUGCUUGCUGGGGUCACAGCUGGGCCCUCCCACAUCUUUGCAGGAUGGCUGGGUGGACAGACAGAUGGACAAACAAAGGUAUGAAAGAGAGCAGCAGGGGAGGAAGGGGGAAGGAGACCCUCAAGCAGUGCUCCAGGGGCUGAGCACCCCCAUGGAGGGAGGAGGGAAGCAGGCAGCAUCCCGCCCAAGGUCACUGGCCAGCAAGUGGCUGUCCUUCGGCCUGCCCUUCCCUCCCACCCGAGCCAGCCCCCACCGGCCUCCCACUGUAAAGCCUCAGGUCUCCUGGGCCAUUAGGAAUCUGCCAAGCGAGGCGUGGUCUUUUUCCUCUCUCUUGUUUCUUGGCUUGUUUUCCUGGUUCUCCAACAGCCGCCUCCUGCAAAAGCCUCCGGGUGCGUGUACGGGAACAUUUUUCUUUAAAAAAAAAAAAAAAGAGAGCGAGAGAGAAAUGCAGCCACAAUUUGGGUAAAAAAGCAACCAACUCCUUAAUCCUUCCCUGUAACCUCUGGCUCCUCAGCAGGGUUGGCUCCAGCCGCUGGGAAGGAAGGCCCUGCUGGGGUGAGAGGCCUGGGCUUGUUUCCCGCCCACCCCCUCCUCACCCGCCUCGGCUCUCCUUCAGGGUUUCGUCUGACUUCUGGAGCCAGGAGGAGACGAGCUGCAGGGCUCAGCAGAGCUCGGGAGGCAUGGGGGGCUGGCGGAGUUGGCCAGGGCCUCUGCCCUCUGCCCACUUGGCCACUUUCUAGGGAGGUUAGGCGGAGCAGGAGUUUUCACCCCUAACCCACUGCCUCUCCUCCCGCUUUCGUUCCUUUAUUCUCCUCUCCUAGACAUUGUAGUCUCUCCACGAUAAGUCCCCUGCAAGUUCCCUGAGCGCCAUCUCCCAUCUCACUGCUUCGUCAUCCAGCACCAGGGCUUGGCUCUCUUUCCGUGAAAGCCAUACACUUCCACACUCCAAGCCUCCAUCCACUCAGACUCCUCCGGAGCGGGGCACUCAAUGUCCCCGCCAGGUCUUGCUCUGUCUGCCGAACCCUUAAUUAAUUGUCUGUUGCAGCCUCAGGACCUGGGUCAGUGCUUGAAACAUCCUGGGUACUUGGUGUCUCUUGCAUGAGUGAUUUCAAACCAUCAAAAGGUCUCUAGCAAUAUUCAGGGUGAUCCUGCAAAAGGAACAUUUGAUCACGUCACAUCCCAGUUAAAACCCUUCCGUGCCUCCCCAGCACCCUUAGAAUCCAGUCCAAUUCUCCAUCCCCCACCACUUUCCAUUUGCCGGAUCGCAUCAAAGGAUUUCCUUCUUCCCCCAACACGCCAUCUUUUCUCUCGCCUCUGGGCCAUUGUACUUACAAGAAAUCCCCCCCUGCCUGCCACACCCUUCCCCAGCUCUCACCUGGCUGACUCCCUCUGGCCAGUUAUCGUGUCAGAUUAUCCAAGAAGCAGAGAAACGUGUAUUCAGGACACCAGCAAAGCAG